Molecule: ribosomal RNA, 497 nt
Filed under: uncultured bacterium
Lineage: Bacteria
Description: partial 16S ribosomal RNA
Rfam family: Bacterial small subunit ribosomal RNA
Source: RNAcentral
GAUGAACGCUGGCGGCGUGCCUAAUACAUGCAAGUCGAGCGAACGGACGAGAAGCUUGCUUUUCUGAUGUUGGCGGCGGACGGGUGAGUAACACGUGGAUAACCUACCUAUAAGACUGGGAUAACUUCGGGAAACCGGAUCUAAUACCGGAUAAUAUUUUGAUCCGCAUGGUUCAAAAGUGAAAGACGGUCUUUCUGUCACUUCUAGAUGGAUCCGCGCUGCAUUAGCUAGUUGGGAAGGUAACGUCUUACCAAGGCAACGAUGCAUAGCCGAACUGAGCGGAGGAUCGGCCACACUGGAACAGAGACACGGAACAGAGUGCUACGGGAGGAAGCAGUAGGGAAUCUUACGCAAUGGGGGAAAGCCUGACGGAGGAACGCGGCGUGAGUGAUGAAGGUCUUCGGAUGGUAAAACUCUGUUAUUAGGGAAGAAGAAAUGUGUAAGUAAAUGUGCACAUCUUGACGGUACCUAAUGAGAAAGCAACGGCUAACUACGUG